Poecilia latipinna (sailfin molly) is the source of this 2015-nucleotide long non-coding RNA. RefSeq lists it as uncharacterized. The transcript is spliced from 2 exons. The record is from RefSeq and is a predicted model, not a curated record. NCBI's taxonomy places the organism in Eukaryota, Metazoa, Chordata, Actinopteri, Cyprinodontiformes, Poeciliidae.
CAGCAAAAACUGAAGAGUUAAAAUUUCAGGGUUAAAGGCUUCAGAGUUGACUUUAACUCAUUAAGAGUUGUUUUAACCCUUGAUGGCGUUAAAUGGCGUUAAAUGGCACCCAGUGUUACAGUUAUUUCCAAUAGUUGAUUGCAUCAGGGUUGAUUUUACUCGUUAAGUGUUGUUUUAACAUUUGCUGAGUUAAAUGGUUUCCAGUCUGAUUGGAGGAAAAUAAGCUCCUCCCUCCUUCAUCGUCUUCCUUGGAGCGGAAUUUGAUAACCGCUCCCUUUUUUCUUCUCCUGUUGUUCUAAACGGUAAGUACAACUUCUUAAAUCUUUGGUUAAGCGCUUUUAAGUUGAUAGUCAUGUGACUUUUUCCACUAAUUUAAUACUUCGUCUAUUUUGCAACGGCUAUACUCGAUGUAUUAGCUAGCAGCCCUUUUGUGGGUUGCUAGUUAGCAGCAACCGACAAAAGGGUUGCUGCUAACCCUUUUGUUAGCAGCAAAAGGGUUACACACACGCACACACACAAUUAUCGGGCCGUGUAUUUAUGAAAAUUAAAGUUAUAUUUUUCUAUCAUUUAAAAUCAUAAUUUUGGCCAUGGUAAUUUAAAUGCUACCAGCCUGUACAUUCACAUGGCUAAUAAUUAGCAACGCUGACGUGUUACGUCCUCUUACGUACAUAGGAGUAUCGCACUGACUGGAACACUUGACUUAAGUUAUAUUUUGCUUUGUCUAAACCUGAGAAUGCUGAUAAUGGAGUGUCUGCUAAAAAGGUAACAUGAUUUCAGUGUGCCCCUAAACUCUUUAAACAUGUUGUGCCAUUUUUGGGUAAUCUAAAUUCUCCAUGUAUUUAUUUUUGUUUAAUUAUUCUUCAUUUCAUAGCUGGUUGAAGUGCCCUACAAAAUGAUGUCUGGUGGUGAAGAAGUUCUGCAGGAGUGUGGAACAACAGAAACUCUCAGUGAUGCCAUAAGAAGACAAGGGGUGAACAUACUGACGCUCACAGGAUUGAUAAAAAUAGGUAAGUGUGUUUUUGCACUUCUAAAUCUAUUUUAAAAAAGUCCCAAUUUUUUCACUAAAAUGAAAUCUCCUGUUAGGCAUCUUCCUGCUAAACCAAUCAGAGAGGAGUACUUGAGGAUGGUGACAUCUCCUUCCAAAUCCACCUGAAGUCACCAGGAAUCAGUGCGUGGGAUGCAGUCGAGAGACUUGCUGUCUUUUAUAAGUCAUGCUGAAGUUCAGAGGAACAUCUCCGGGACCAACGGGGUCUGCAGCCAUACCUCCUUGCUGUGUGUUGUCAGCAGAGCAAGAUUGACAUCCUCUACAUCAUCGUGGAUAAGUGACUCAUCCCAUGCCAAACAAACUGCUUUCUUGCAGCAUUUGAUGAGUUAUUCAAAAUACAUUUUGUGCUAUCUCUAAUGAACCUGCAUUAAUGAAUUUUUAUAAAUUUUUGCAUUGAAUAACAUUGAUGUUGGCAAAAUGAAGGAAUGACCUGGAGUGGGGGACUUAAGAGCAAGAUAAGCAAUAUAUUAUUAAUUGGCAAUCACUUUUUCCUUUGUUACCUAAACAGCUAUUUACAGAGACCUUUGUUCAUUUUCAUGGUUUUUUUUUAUAGUGAAAGAUAUCUUCUGAAAAUCCCAGAUCAAAAAUUUUAUAAGCUUUUUGAUAUUCAAAACUUGUAUGGAAUGCUAUUGAAUGUUGUUCACUGUACAACAGUUUAAAAUGUUGGAAACACAGCUGCAUAAAUAAAACAUUUGUUUAAAAUUGAUUUAUUUGUUUUAGUUUUACUUUAUUAUAAUACAUUUUAACCAGAAUCAUGAAGUUACACAUUUUGGAGUAAAUUUCUAGCACUUGAAAGUGUUAAAUUAACACAAACAAAAUUGUUAUUUUAUCAGUGUUAACCAUUGCAUCCCAAACAGAGUUAAUUUAACUCUGUUUUGUGAGUUAAAAAUUUACUCUGAUCCAGUGUUAAAAAUUUAACUAUUUUGAAAGUGUUAAUUUAACACAUAAGAAUGUGGACUAUAUAAACUCC